CAGUUUUGUUGUGUGGAACAACUGGACUCCACCUUCUCCACUCUACUGACUUUCUCCUGCCAUAGUUUCAUACCCAUUUGGUCCAUUCUUUCUUCUUCGGUCUAUUUCAUUUCUAUCAUCUUUCUCUAUAUUCCAAUUUCCAAUUCUUUCUCUUUUUCCUUGCAACAUAAUAUUUGCUUUAAGUUUUUCCUUUCGUCAUUUACAAUUAGAGGUUUGAAAUGGCCAAUUCUGCUAAUUCUUAUUCUCUAUGCAUGUAGAAUUGUAGAUUAUGUUCCUGGGGAUCAAUUCACGUGUAAGGAAGCUUAUGUGACAAAGAAUGUUCAAGUUCCAGCAGUAGAAUAUCAAGCAGGCCAAACCAGGAGAAAGGGUUGAUUUCAGAUUCUCCAAUUUCUAAGACGUCCUUCAGUGUGUAAAUUAAAACUUCUGAGGCAAACCCGGGAAAAGGACUUGCCAUGGUCAUGGAGGACUUGAAGCUUCUCCUUUAUCACUUCAAAUAGCCAAUUAUGUGACUAUUUAUCAUGGAAUGGAGUUUCUUUGAAGGAACAAAGGGAUGUUUCCAGCAACGAGCAACCUCAACAGUACUCUAUAUGGCUCUUAAUUGGACUAUGUGAUUUCUUUUGCUCAUGAUGUAAACACUGAUAUUAACAUGAUGGUUAGGAGAUGCCCGCGAACAAGCGAUAUGUUUGGGUUUGAUUUUGCAAGUGUAUUAUAAGGAAAGUAAAAGAGAACAGAAUAUUUACUUAGUUCGAUAUGAGAUGAGACUGGGGAGUGGGGACUAAUAUAUAGUUUUCUAUGUUUGUCAAUAUCUUAGCAUUACUAUAUAUGGCUCUUGGUUGGACUAUGCGA
Molecule: long non-coding RNA, 846 nt
Organism: Nicotiana attenuata
Lineage: Eukaryota; Viridiplantae; Streptophyta; Magnoliopsida; Solanales; Solanaceae
Exons: 3
Source: RefSeq, a predicted model, not a curated record